Long non-coding RNA from Cygnus atratus (black swan), 1713 nucleotides. RefSeq lists it as uncharacterized. The transcript is spliced from 4 exons. NCBI's taxonomy places the organism in Eukaryota, Metazoa, Chordata, Aves, Anseriformes, Anatidae. The record is from RefSeq and is a predicted model, not a curated record.
UGGACAGUUCAGCACAGACAAAGCUUGCUGUCUGCUAACUGUGUGAACAAACUAGACAGAAUGGUAGCUGUUUGAUGAAAGGGUGUUAACUGAAGACCUGGGCCCUUCAGGAAAAGCUCUGUAAGAAUGCAGUUACCUCCUGUAGAUGAAAAAGCAGAAUACAAGGAAAGAAUUAUCAGCAUCCAAAGAUGGUGUAUUUGAGAUCUUUUCCUUCUUCCAGGAAAUUCACAAAAUUAAAUACUGGUUUAUUAAUGCACAGAGAGCAGAUAGAUCAUCGUGUUUCCGCAGUUAAUCUGUGGUAUUAACCUUGUGAAUGCCAGUGCAGAGAUAAGGAGGAAAAUGAAGUAUAUGCAGAGGAAAAGGAGUCAAGGACACUUCCCUGGUCAUCUACUGAUAGAUUUAUUCUGCCCCCAAGUGGGACCUUCAGUCACCUCUAUGACUGCUGAGGCAGCCAAUUUCUAAACUCUUUUUCAGCUUAGAAAUCCAUUAUAAGGACAGGAGAAAAAGACAAUUGUGGUGAUAGUUUUUAACGAAAAUUCGUAGAUGAUACCUUUUUUGUGAAUGGGAUUUGCUUUCUAUCUAGUAUCUUUUUAUUGUUUCUGCUAAUUGAGACACUAUGGUGAUGUUGCUGGCUGCAUGUUUCUUCCUGAGUUCAUGAAAUGAGGUAGACCCCUUUUUAUUUUAGUUGAAUGAUUUUUCUUGUCUCACCUUAGGAGUAUAAAUCUUUGUUUUUACCAGCUUUGAUUUAUAAUCACCUGUGAUGUAUGGCAGGGUUUUAUGAUAUGACUGUUUUGCAUCUUUCAGCUCCAAGCUUAAUGAGUUUAUUGGAAGUGUUUGUUAGGAAUUCUAGCCAGAGUGUCUUUGAACAUGCAUGGUCAGUGAAAUACAACUGAACAGAAUGGAACAGAAUACAAUAGGUAGCAGCACUUUUGGAAUAGUCCCACCACUUUGGGAUCUGGAGAAUGUAAAGCCUCUCCAUUGCAUUUCUGCCUUCAAUUCAGCUGAGUUGCAAAAGUGCACUGUCACUUAUUUUAAAUAGAGCUUUUCCAAUAUUCACAAGAAAACAUAAAAUACGUUGGCCAAAACUUUGGAUAGAUUUUUAUAAAAGGUGUACACAUACUAGUGCAUCACCAAUUCUUUUAAUAUGCAUGAGGUUUCAGAGGUCUUUAUUAUGAAGGGUUAUAUUUUAUUCAUUAUUGAACAAGGAACAAGGUUUACAAUUUGUGUUCAGAGUCUUCCAAAAAACACAGGAGAAUGUCUAGACACUGUGAGAAGAAGGAGUCUUGACUGAAAGCUAUUAAUUCCACUUUAAGAGCUGGCAUUUUUUUUGCUGUUAGAUUAGUGUAACUAAUAGGAGAGUGAGACAGAGGGCUUGAGGUUGUCCCAGAAACUGUUCUUUUUUGGUUUACUUUCUUUUCUUCUUAAACUUGCUUAUUUGAGUUUGAAGUUUGAAGUCUCAGUGAAGAGUCAUGGAGUUUUUGCUUCUGUAUAUGCCAGCUGUAAAACCUUUUUGAGAGGCUAAGUAUAUUAAAGAUACUGACAAAAAAAAUCCUGAUGCUUUCAUUCAAAACUAAUUACACCUUCUCAGAAAACUUUGUUACAUUCCUACCAGUAAUACUAGUUGUGAGGGGUUGGAGGUUAUGAAUACUAAGAGCUGUAACAAAUAAAAGCUGUAAAACUCAUUAUGAUAUUAAACAUGCAUGUGAAACAAAA